AAUUGAUCGUGCUUAAGAGCCUGUGCGGAAAUCCAUCCGGUGAAAAAGGGUCGCUUUAAAAGUUGACCACCAAAUCCACCCAAAAAAGUGUCCUGUCUGCUGAACGUAAACAAUCCUUUUUAUGACCGGGAACAGAAAUCCGUCGUUGCGUUGAAUGUUCAAACCAUUAAAUCCGGAUUGCGGCUGUCCUCGAAGAAAACAGUUCCGGUAGUGUUAAUGAUUCGCUGCACACAGUCGGAGGAAGAGUGUGCUGAUAACAUCCUUUGAGGCAAAUCAUAAUAAAUGUUCGAGCAACAGAAAACAACAGCCACUUCCGGAGCUUCGAAUGUAACGGAGCAUAGUCUGCAAGUCUGACAAAGAAGCCGUCAGCUACUCAAAGUUGAUACAAACGCUCUUUCAAAAAGAUUCAUCAACAUGAAAAUUGAAUCAUCACUCAAAGCCUUAAGAAGUUUGGAAGAAUUCUCGGAUAUAGAAUCGAUUUGAUGAAAAGCAUUGACAAAUCUUCACGAAGCCGUAAUGCAGGAUAUCGGGCCUGGAGGUAUUUUCCAUGUUUUAUAAUUGGAGCGAACAUACAUCAUCAGCCGUGACCACCAGCAGAAGUCCCGGUUGUGGUAAUUGUGAAAAAGCGAUCAAGUGAUAAAAGCCAUGGUAGAAGUAUUAAUCCGUGGUAGAGGCCUGAUGACUGAAUUUGGAUAAGUUUUAGCAACAUCGAAAGGUUCAACCUUAUAGAAGCCAAAAAUGUGUCAGGUUAAUGAAUUAGGAAGCUCUCUACGUUUGCAUGUUUACAAAACAUCACAUCCGGUUACAAUAGUUGUGAUGGCAUCGGAAAUCACGGCCGGUACCGGCUGCAUUUAUUGUUAUUCUAUCGGAAUUUUACCAUGAUAAGGCAUGUGAAAAAUAAGUGUAACUUUAGGUUCAUUACCUUUUAGUCUACUGGUUAAGAGUUUCAAAAAUGUAUUCACGAACAGAAAAAGAAAUAUAAUUUUGGUUUAGAGAGGAAUAAU
Long non-coding RNA from Uranotaenia lowii, 1004 nucleotides. RefSeq lists it as uncharacterized. Lineage: Eukaryota; Metazoa; Arthropoda; Insecta; Diptera; Culicidae. The record is from RefSeq and is a predicted model, not a curated record. The transcript is spliced from 4 exons.